AACGAACGCUGGCGGCAUGCCUAACACAUGCAAGUCGAACGAGACCUCCGGGUCUAGUGGCGCACGGGUGCGUAACGCGUGGGAACCUGCCCUUAGGUUCGGAAUAACUCCCCGAAAGGGGUGCUAAUACCGGAUAAUGUCUUCGGACCAAAGAUUUAUCGCCUUUGGAUGGGCCCGCGUUGGAUUAGCUAGUUGGUAGGGUAAAAGCCUACCAAGGCGACGAUCCAUAGCUGGUCUGAGAGGAUGAUCAGCCACACUGGGACUGAGACACGGCCCAGACUCCUACGGGAGGCAGCAGUGGGGAAUAUUGGACAAUGGGCGGAAGCCUGAUCCAGCAAUGCCGCGUGAGUGAUGAAGGCCUUAGGGUUGUAAAGCUCUUUUACCCGGGAUGAUAAUGACAGUACCGGGAGAAUAAGCUCCGGCUAACUCCGUG
Molecule: ribosomal RNA, 433 nt
Filed under: uncultured bacterium
Lineage: Bacteria
Description: partial 16S ribosomal RNA
Rfam family: Bacterial small subunit ribosomal RNA
Source: RNAcentral